GAGUUUGAUCAUGGCUCAGAACGAACGCUGGCGGCAGGCCUAACACAUGCAAGUCGAGCGCACCUUCGGGUGAGCGGCGGACGGGUUAGUAACGCGUGGGAACGUACCCUUUUCUACGGAAUAGCCUUUGGAAACGAAGAGUAAUACCGUAUACGCCCUUUGGGGGAAAGAUUUAUCGGAGAAGGAUCGGCCCGCGUUAGAUUAGAUAGUUGGUGGGGUAACGGCCUACCAAGUCUACGAUCUAUAGCUGGUUUUAGAGGAUGAUCAGCAACACUGGGACUGAGACACGGCCCAGACUCCUACGGGAGGCAGCAGUGGGGAAUCUUAGACAAUGGGCGCAAGCCUGAUCUAGCCAUGCCGCGUGAGUGAUGAAGGCCUUAGGGUCGUAAAGCUCUUUCGCCUGUGAUGAUAAUGACAGUAGCAGGUAAAGAAACCCCGGCUAACUCCGUGCCAGCAGCCGCGGUAAUACGGAGGGGGUUAGCGUUGUUCGGAAUUACUGGGCGUAAAGCGCACGUAGCGGAUUGGAAAGUUGGGGGUGAAAUCCCGGGGCUCAACCC
RNAcentral lists this ribosomal RNA (557 nucleotides) under uncultured bacterium. RNAcentral's name for it is "bacterial SSU rRNA". It matches the Rfam family "Bacterial small subunit ribosomal RNA", at positions 9 to 615 of the family's 1533-position model. The record is from RNAcentral.